ACGAGAGUACCGUACGACUAAGCAUCGGCUAACUACGUGCCAGCAGCCGCGGUAAUACGUAGGUGGCAAGCGUUAUCCGGAUUUAUUGGGCGUAAAGGGAACGCAGGCGGUCUUUUAAGUCUGAUGUGAAAGCCUUCGGCUUAACCGGAGUAGUGCAUUGGAAACUGGGAGACUUGAGUGCAGAAGAGGAAAGUGGAACUCCAUGUGUAGCGGUGAAAUGCGUAGAUAUAUGGAAGAACACCAGUGGCGAAAGCGGCUCUCUGGUCUGUAACUGACGCUGAGGUUCGAAAGCGUGGGUAGCAAACAGG
This 308-nucleotide ribosomal RNA is filed under the name uncultured bacterium. RNAcentral describes it as "bacterial SSU rRNA". It matches the Rfam family "Bacterial small subunit ribosomal RNA", at positions 469 to 776 of the family's 1533-position model. The record is from RNAcentral.